RNAcentral lists this ribosomal RNA (425 nucleotides) under uncultured bacterium. RNAcentral describes it as "bacterial SSU rRNA". It matches the Rfam family "Bacterial small subunit ribosomal RNA", at positions 354 to 796 of the family's 1533-position model. The record is from RNAcentral.
GUGGGGAAUUUUCCGCAAUGGGCGAAAGCCUGACGGAGCGACGCCGCGUGGAGGAUGAAGGAUUUCGGUCUGUAAACUCCUGUCAGGGGGGACGAUGAUGACGGUACCCCCAAAGGAAGCAUCGGCUAACUACGUGCCAGCAGCCGCGGUAAUACGUAGGAUGCAAGCGUUGUUCGGAAUUAUUGGGCGUAAAGCGUGCGUAGGCGGCUUGUUAAGUCUGGUGUGAAAGCUAGGGGCUCAACCCCUGUGUUGCACUGGAAACUGGCAGGCUUGAGUGCGGUAGGGGAAGGUGGAAUUCCGAGUGUAGCGGUGAAAUGCGUAGAUAUUCGGAAGAACACCGGUGGCGAAGGCGACCUUCUGGGCCGCCACUGACGCUGAGGCACGAAAGCGUGGGGAGCAAACGGGAUUAGAAACCCGGGUAGUCC